GGGAAACCGGAGCUAAUACCGGAUAAUAUAUUGAACCGCAUGGUUCAAUAGUGAAAGACGGUUUUGCUGUCACUUAUAGAUGGAUCCGCGCCGCAUUAGCUAGUUGGUAAGGUAACGGCUUACCAAGGCACGAUGCGUAGCCGACCUGAGAGGGUGAUCGGCCACACUGGAACUGAGACACGGUCCAG
Molecule: ribosomal RNA, 188 nt
Filed under: uncultured Staphylococcus sp.
Lineage: Bacteria; Bacillati; Bacillota; Bacilli; Caryophanales; Staphylococcaceae
Description: partial 16S ribosomal RNA
Rfam family: Bacterial small subunit ribosomal RNA
Source: RNAcentral